GCACAGAGCCCGACGCAGGGCUUGAACCCACAAGCUGUGAGAUCGUGACCUGAGCUGAAGUCGGAGGCUUAACCGACUGAGCCACCCAGGGGCCCCUAUGUUGAUAGUUUUUAUGUAUCAUGGGGAAGAAUUUUAUAGAGUCCACUGUUUAUGUGCUUUCAGUACACAUUUCAUUCAUUUCCAAAGCUGCUUAGGUUAGCACUUUCUGCCCCGGCACCUACAGUGAGUUUCUUCAUACAUUUCUAGUACAGUUAGAUUAUGUAUCACAUUCUGGAUUAUAUCUUGUGACAAUCCCACAUCCUAAAUGAUUCAGUUGGAAUAAUCAUGAUGUAGUCUUUGGGCUGGAAACAUCUAUGAGUUUUGCCAAAUGCGUAGUGGCACAUACCUAUCACUAAAAUAUACGGAAUACCUUGAACUCUAACUACAUGAUCUGUUUAUCAUCUCUGUAGUUUUGCCGUUUCCAGAAUGUCCUAUAAACGGGGCCAUACAGUACGUAGCCUCUUCAGACUGGACUCUUUUACUUCGCAAAAUGUGUGUACGAUUCAUCCAUGUCUUUGUAAGGGGUGAUGGAUCAUUCGUUUCUACUGCUGAGUAGUAGUGCCUUGCAUGUAUAGGUGACUAAAAAUAAUUUUUCUUUACUUUUCUAGGUUCUUGGCUGAGACUACUUCUUGUGAUAAAAGAUUAACAGGAGAAAAACAGAAGUGUAAUUGUGUGUUUGCAUCCUGUAUACGUGGGACAUACUCAGGAAAACUGAUUAACUUCCCCAAAUGGCUGAAGUAAUCACUUGGAAUGUUUCAGUAGUCGGAAGGCCGAUUAAGGGAGGCUAUCAGACCAAGCAAGAGUAUAUGAGGGGCUACAGCAACGAGCCAUAUGUGGGUCUGGAAGUCACGAACUGCCAGAUCAUGAGACCUGAGCCAAAGUUGGACACUCAAAUGACUGAGCGACCUGCCUUCACAGUUUUGCACUUUAAAUGGAUCUGCAAUUUUGAGUGAAAUCUGGUGUAAGUUGC
Felis catus (domestic cat) is the source of this 1009-nucleotide long non-coding RNA. RefSeq lists it as uncharacterized. The transcript is spliced from 2 exons. NCBI's taxonomy places the organism in Eukaryota, Metazoa, Chordata, Mammalia, Carnivora, Felidae. The record is from RefSeq and is a predicted model, not a curated record.